ACCAGCACCUCAAGUGGUCAGGAGGAUUAUUGGGCCUAAAGCAUCCGUAGCCGGCUCUGUAAGUUUUCGGUUAAAUCCAUGUGCUCAACGCAUGGGCUGUCGAAAAUACUGCAUAGCUAGGGAGUGGGAGAGGUAGACGGUACUCGGUAGGAAGGGGUAAAAUCCUUUGAUCUAUCGAUGACCACCUGUGGCGAAGGCGGUCUACCAGAACACGUUCGACGGUGAGGGAUGAAAGCUGGGGGAGCAAACCGG
Molecule: ribosomal RNA, 252 nt
Filed under: uncultured archaeon
Lineage: Archaea
Description: partial 16S ribosomal RNA
Rfam family: Archaeal small subunit ribosomal RNA
Source: RNAcentral